This is a long non-coding RNA of Amblyraja radiata (thorny skate), 150 nucleotides long. RefSeq lists it as uncharacterized. The record is from RefSeq and is a predicted model, not a curated record. Lineage: Eukaryota; Metazoa; Chordata; Chondrichthyes; Rajiformes; Rajidae. The transcript is spliced from 3 exons.
GUGCAAACAGACAGAUACACACAGGCAAAGAUGAAUCAUAACAUGGAGGCCUGAACCUGAACCUGCUUAGCUUAGGUUUAUUGCUGAGGCACUGGAGGAAAUUGUAUUUGAUAUGCCUUUGUGCAGAAUAGAUAACUGAAAAGGGGCCUC